This is a long non-coding RNA of Drosophila pseudoobscura, 1138 nucleotides long. RefSeq lists it as uncharacterized. Lineage: Eukaryota; Metazoa; Arthropoda; Insecta; Diptera; Drosophilidae. The transcript is spliced from 3 exons. The record is from RefSeq and is a predicted model, not a curated record.
CUUACACAGAACAAGACUUAAGUCAGACAAAGCUGGUCUGGCUGGCUCAUGAUGCUGUGGCUGAACCCUGUUGAGAAAACGAAUUUUGUAUCUUCCCGUAGAGCAUAUUUCAUGAUAUAUUUCCCCCGAUAAGUGGCCCGAUGCUUUAACCUUCACUUUUCCAUGUCCUGCGCCGCUCUGGCGAUUUUCCAUUGACAUUGAUAUUUCCAUUAAUUGAUACUGUAUUGAUACUGCAUUCACGAUCGCGCCAGCAACUGGUACAUUAUGCAUUUAUGCAAGGCUUUGACCGGACUAUGCUAUGCUGCGAACGAGAGGGUCGCGAUACAGCGGUGGCCAGGAAUACCUCUUGCCUGCCCGCUGACUCCAUUGCGCCCACCAUGGUCUUCCGGUUUUUACAGCGAGUGUGCGCUCGAUAACUUCUGUCCACUGGAGGGGCCUGACCGGCUUCCAUCGCGCACUACUCGCUGGCUCCAGGGGAUGGGACCACGACUCCGCGCGCUCCUCGGGACAUGACUGCUGUCGCGCGAGCUGUGGCCUUUCGCCUGGGUGGCCUUUGGAUCCGGCCACUGGCAUACCCCUCUUCUCCGCUUUUCCGGUCUGCUCGCCGUCCGUACCUCGUCCGUAAGUGAUCCCGCCGUAGCUCCUCGUCCUCUUUUGAGAGUUCCAAGAGAUGUGCUCCUGGCUGGACUGUGGGACUCCUGAUGCCGCUGCUGUGUCGCUGAGUCGACAAUGUGGCGUCUCGUCCUAUGCAGCAGGGACUAGUGAAAUAAUGUCAGCAACCCUCACAUCCAUGCGCCGCCGAAUCAAACGCUGGGCUUCAGCUUCGAGACGCGAAACUUAUGUACAUAUGUACAUAUGUACAUUACGCCUUGCCACAAACUGAGUCGUAUCCGAUUUCCCAACGCAAGACGGAAUCCCAGUCAGACAGAAUCGCAUUCCAGCAGGACAGAAGCGCAUCCUUUGCAAGAGGCCGAACCUACCAAGCCGCCGCAUCUUUUGACUUGGCCAUCGACAACAAUCUCAAGGACUUUGGCUAUGGAAACCAAGGAGGAGCUGCGUGGUCUACUAGACUCUAGAUAGAUCUCCUUGUUGUUAGGUUUAAGGAUACAUACGUCUAUAAGUAGUAGAUAAAAAUGUA